RNAcentral lists this ribosomal RNA (529 nucleotides) under Bifidobacterium breve. RNAcentral describes it as "bacterial SSU rRNA". It matches the Rfam family "Bacterial small subunit ribosomal RNA", at positions 165 to 704 of the family's 1533-position model. Lineage: Bacteria; Bacillati; Actinomycetota; Actinomycetes; Bifidobacteriales; Bifidobacteriaceae. The record is from RNAcentral.
AAUGCCGGAUGCUCCAUCACACCGCAUGGUGUGUUGGGAAAGCCUUUGCGGCAUGGGAUGGGGUCGCGUCCUAUCAGCUUGAUGGCGGGGUAACGGCCCACCAUGGCUUCGACGGGUAGCCGGCCUGAGAGGGCGACCGGCCACAUUGGGACUGAGAUACGGCCCAGACUCCUACGGGAGGCAGCAGUGGGGAAUAUUGCACAAUGGGCGCAAGCCUGAUGCAGCGACGCCGCGUGAGGGAUGGAGGCCUUCGGGUUGUAAACCUCUUUUGUUAGGGAGCAAGGCAUUUUGUGUUGAGUGUACCUUUCGAAUAAGCACCGGCUAACUACGUGCCAGCAGCCGCGGUAAUACGUAGGGUGCAAGCGUUAUCCGGAAUUAUUGGGCGUAAAGGGCUCGUAGGCGGUUCGUCGCGUCCGGUGUGAAAGUCCAUCGCUUAACGGUGGAUCCGCGCCGGGUACGGGCGGGCUUGAGUGCGGUAGGGGAGACUGGAAUUCCCGGUGUAACGGUGGAAUGUGUAGAUAUCGGAAAA